UCAACAACGACGACUUGAUAUUCCAGAUGAUAUGGAUCCAGUCAUAGCGGAUGUUAUUAGGAAAUGCUGGCAAACGGAUCCAAAGUUGAGGCCAACAUUUGCAGAGAUCAUGGCGUUUUGAAGCCAUUACAGAAGCCGAUAACUGGUGCACAAGUGCCUAGACCAAGUUCAUCUAUGAGAGGUGGACAUGAGAAAGGUCAGCAACAGGCAGGCUAACAGAGCUAAUUAGUGAGUCAGAGUGGAACUUCAGCUCAAUGGAUUGCCAAAAAUAUCAAUAUGGAGGCAAAUUAUGAACUUUCUGGGACAAGAAUGCAC
Molecule: unclassified non-coding RNA, 315 nt
Filed under: Hevea brasiliensis (rubber tree)
Lineage: Eukaryota; Viridiplantae; Streptophyta; Magnoliopsida; Malpighiales; Euphorbiaceae
Source: RNAcentral